This 79-nucleotide ribosomal RNA is filed under the name Limosilactobacillus reuteri. Lineage: Bacteria; Bacillati; Bacillota; Bacilli; Lactobacillales; Lactobacillaceae. The record is from RNAcentral.
UGUGGUGAUGAUGGCUUGAAGGAUACACCUGUACCCAUGCCGAACACAGAAGUUAAGCUUCAACACGCCGAAAGUAGUU